This 2546-nucleotide unclassified non-coding RNA is filed under the name Hermetia illucens (black soldier fly). RNAcentral's name for it is "diuretic hormone receptor, transcript variant X5". The record is from RNAcentral. Lineage: Eukaryota; Metazoa; Arthropoda; Insecta; Diptera; Stratiomyidae.
CUCGAGAUUCCUCCGACCUUCCUCAACCCCCUCCCCGUAUCGUAAGCAUCCAUAGUACGAUAGUUCGUAGUGUAGUCGUUCGUCCAGUGUUUUGAAAAAAACGCGCAGGAAUAGAUUGUGCACGUGGUUGCCUGUAUUAUACGGACGGCCUUCAGUGUUAAGGACGAAUGCUUUACGGUGUCCUGCCUUGUUGAAUGGUUUGCAUAAGUGUAACAACGCCUUGAACUUGAGUGCUCGGAACUAUUGCAUUUGCAUACUCUGUUGGAUUCGCUAACCGGACCGAAGCACUUUCCAGGUGAUUUAUGUUCGCCGCGAAGCAGUGUACAGUACAUUCGCUGAUACCAGCCCUGCACGCAGCUCCGCGAGCGAGCCCCGAGCUGUGUACAAACAGAUUCACUUUGGACUUUAUUGCCUAUCUCUUAAUUAUCAUCAAGAAGAAUAUCGCGAUCAGCACACGGCGUACUAAGCAAUAAGUAGUGUAAUGGUAGACAGUGCCGCGUCCGGAAGAUUCGCUAGUGCUCCUUAGCGGCGACGAAACGGCUGACCCAUGCGUGUGCGAGCCCCCAGGUGUGUUGAGUCGAACAAUGUGCAGUGUAAUUGCGUGUGCCGCGAAUGUCCUCCGCGAGUGAUGCAAUUAGAGCACCUGUAGAGCAGUACCUGCCGACCUACACUGGAGUGUGAUUCAAUUAACGCACGAGGAACAUGCGAAUCAAAUGUAGAAUGUCGCGUCUGGACUAACUCGAUUUCCAGUGAUGUGAAAAGUGGAAAGUUUUAAUUACACAGUUGAAGUGCACCGUAGACCAUUUUCCCGGUAAACUUAUGUCCCUGCGAGUGGAAGCUGCAUCACAGAUAAAUCCCAAGCUGGAGCUCGAAACGGUCGAGAGUGUGGCGGAGCAUCCAUCGGCGGAAUGGCUCAAUUCUGUGAAUUCAAGUGCCGAGUUGGAGUGCUUGUUGAAGGCGAACAGUGACACUGAACAGGAACAGAGCCAAGGAUGCCCGCCAUCGUAUGAUUCAGUGCUUUGCUGGCCAAGGACUCCACCGAAUACUCUUGCAGUGCUGCCAUGCUUUAAGGAAUUCAAAGGAGUGCAGUAUGACAGUACACACAAUGCCACCCGCUUCUGUCAUGCAAACAGCACCUGGGAUAAUUACUCUAGUUACGAUCAAUGCCAUCAUGUGAUCAAACCAUCUAAUCUUCCUGAUUUCUCACCAAGUGUUGAGCUGCCAACUUUGAUCUAUUGUUCCGGGUACUUUUUAAGUCUGAUAGGUUUAACAUUAGCAUUACUUGUUUUCGUUUAUUUCAAGAUAUUUCCUUCCAGAGACUUGAAAUGCCUUCGAAAUACGAUACAUGCGAAUUUAUUUUUAACAUAUAUUUUAUCAGCAUUACUGUGGAUACUGACACUAUUUUUGCAAGUGUUAAUAGAUGAUCCCGGUGCAGCAAGUUGUACACUAUUAGUUAUUUUAUUUCAUUAUUUUAAUCUGACCAACUUUUUCUGGAUGUUAGUCGAAGGACUGUAUUUGUACACCCUAGUUGUGCUGACCUUCUCUAGUGAUAAUAUCAAAUUUUGGGUAUAUGCUUUCAUAGGAUGGGGAUGUCCGGCUCUAGUGGUUCUAACCUGGUCAAUCUGUAAAGUAUUCACCAUUCCGCUCGAUUCGGAACGUUUUAACGGGCUGGAAAUUGAAUGUUCAUGGAUGCGUGAAUCGACGGUGGAUUGGAUAUUCCAAGGCCCAGCCUGUAUGGUUUUAAUCCUAAACUUAAUUUUCCUAAUGCGGAUUAUGUGGGUACUUAUCACAAAGUUACGUUCUGCCAACACACUGGAAACCCGUCAGUAUCGGAAGGCAUCGAAGGCGCUCCUCGUCCUAAUCCCACUACUGGGAAUCACUUAUUUAUUGGUUUUAACUGGACCGGAAUUUGGAAUUGGCAGAUAUAUGUUUGACGUAAUCCGGGCAUUUUUGAUAAGCUCUCAGGGAUUUUCAGUUUCGCUAUUUUACUGUUUUCUCAAUUCGGAAGUGAGACUUGCUCUUCGUCAUAAACUGGAUCGGUGGAGAGAUGAAAGGAAUAUAAACAGCGGACAGUCAACAAGAAAUCGCAGGAUCAAACUUCUCAAUAGGCAAGGUAUUCCCAGUAUUUGUUGAAUUGUGCAACCUCCAUUAGGGAUAUCCUCUUCGAAGAACUUACAUUUUAAGUAAUAUCAAGACAUGGUUUGGCCAGACGAAGCAACCCCGAUUGAAAGUCCUACAAGCGAAAGAAUAACAAGUUUCAUUUUAGGACGGAAGAGUGCACCGUAUUUAUUAAAGGAUAAGUCAUUUUGACGAAAGGAUACCUUUGUGCGUGUCUAGUUAUAGAUUCCUGUAAAGUACGCUUAAGACUGAUAAUCAAAAGAACAAAAUUAAAAAGUAACCUUCACGUGUAAUGUCCUUUGCGCUUUAAAUGUAAUCGAGUCAAAAUCACUUUUAAGCAAAGAAAAAUUUAAAUUUUAAAAUCUAAUGGAAAAUAUAAGCCUAAAGAAAAUAUUGUAAUAGAUAUACAUAUAUCAAAUUGUUUAUUA